Molecule: long non-coding RNA, 621 nt
Organism: Medicago truncatula (barrel medic)
Lineage: Eukaryota; Viridiplantae; Streptophyta; Magnoliopsida; Fabales; Fabaceae
Exons: 2
Source: RefSeq, a predicted model, not a curated record
ACAUUCAGGUUUUAACUAUAAAAGGAUCAAAAUAAAUCUCUUUAGUACGUUCAAAGGAUGAAACAUAUGGCUCAAUUUCUUCUGUUUGUUUAUUCUUUGAUUAUCUUUCUUUCUUUAUUUUUUGGUGAAGCGGCGUUUGAGAGGACUGAAACUAGAAUGCUUACCAUUCCUUGCACUUCUGACGCUAACUGUCCGAAGGUGAUUAGUCCUUGCCAUACAAAGUGUUUUGAUGGUUUUUGUGGGUGGUAUAUUGAAGGUUCAUAUGAAGGGCCAUAAUUGCACAAUCGAAACCAGGGGAUAUCACAUUAUUUCUACUUUUUUUCUUUACUUAAAAAUAUAAAUUAUGUUUAUCUAGCUUUUAAAUUUAAUUUUAUGUGUAUGCUGCACUCUUUUUUCCUUCAUCAAGUUUUAUCUCAAUAGAUUUUCUUGUUAAGGUUUUUAAUGAGGCAGUUGUUUGUUUCCUUGGGUUUUGGCAUAGUCUACCCAAUUUUUUAUUUUUUUAAUAAUAUGUUUCUUUGAGGUCUUACUUAGCUGAGAUUUCCUCAUGUAUUAUGCAUGAUGCCUAUGUACGUCGUUGAUAUCUGAAAAAAUUAAAUGCAUUUUUCCAUAAUAAUUUUUGUA